This 753-nucleotide ribosomal RNA is filed under the name uncultured Glomerales. RNAcentral describes it as "LSU rRNA". It matches the Rfam family "Eukaryotic large subunit ribosomal RNA", at positions 38 to 633 of the family's 3401-position model. Lineage: Eukaryota; Fungi; Glomeromycota; Glomeromycetes; Glomerales; Glomeraceae. The record is from RNAcentral.
GCAUAUCAAUAAGCGGAGGAAAAGAAACUAACAAGGAUUCCCUUAGUAACGGCGAGUGAAGAGGGAAAAGCUCAAAUUUUAAAUCUAUCAUGUUUGUACAUGAUCGAAUUGUAAUUUGAAGAAGCGUUUUCUCGUACUUUAUGCAAUCAGUAUAAGUUCUCUUGGAACAGGACAUCAUAGAGGGUGAUAAUCCCGUCUGUUACUGGUUGUGAGGUUCGUUAUGAUACGCUUUCAAAGAGUCGAGUUGUUUGGGAUUGCAGCUCAAAAUGGGAGGUAAAUUUCUCCUAAGGCUAAAUAUUGGCGAGAGACCGAUAGCGAACAAGUACCGUGAGGGAAAGAUGAAAAGCACUUUGAAAAGAGAGUUAAAUAGUACGUGAAAUUGUUGAAAGGGAAACGAUUGAAGCCAGUCGUACCGACGGAGAAUCAACCUCUAGAGUGCGAAAUGCGGGUAUUCGGGGAGUUAAAACCUUCGUGUGUUCGUAAUUUUGUGCUUAUGGGGUGCAUUUCUUCGUAUGGUAGGUUAACAUCAAUUUUGGACGUUACAAAGUGAUCGGGGGAAUGUAGCUUCGAUUUUUUCGAAGUGUUAUAGCCCUUGGUAGAUGUGACGACCGGGAUUGAGGAUUGCAACGAAUGCCUUCGGGCUAUCCGCCUGGCCUCUGAUGGUUGCCCUGGGGUCGAAAGCAUGCUUACGGCUUCNAGGCUUGGCUGUCAAAAGGUUAGAACGUGAUUAAAUUCGUUAAGGAUGUUGACGUA